GACGAACGCUGGCGGCGUGCCUAAUACAUGCAAGUUGAGCGCUGAAGGUUGGUACUUGUACCGACUGGAUGAGCAGCGAACGGGUGGGUAACGCGUGGGGAAUCUGCCUUUGAGCGGGGGACAACAUUUGGAAACGAAUGCUAAUACCGCAUAAAAACUUUAAACACAAGUUUUACGUUUGAAAGAUGCAAUUGCAUCACUCAAAGAUGAUCCCGCGUUGUAUUAGCUAGUUGGUGAGGUAAAGGCUCACCAAGGCGAUGAUACAUAGCCGACCUGAGAGGGUGAUCGGCCACAUUGGGACUGAGACACGGCCCAAACUCCUACGGGAGGCAGCAGUAGGGAAUCUUCGGCAAUGGACGAAAGUCUGACCGAGCAACGCCGCGUGAGUGAAGAAGGUUUUCGGAUCGGAAAACUCUGUUGGUAGAGAAGAACGUUGGUGAGAGUGGAAAGCUCAUCAAGUGACGGUAACUACCCAGAAAGGGACGGCUAACUACGUG
This 497-nucleotide ribosomal RNA is filed under the name uncultured bacterium. RNAcentral's name for it is "partial 16S ribosomal RNA". It matches the Rfam family "Bacterial small subunit ribosomal RNA", at positions 28 to 507 of the family's 1533-position model. The record is from RNAcentral.